CAGCCGUAAACGAUGCGCGUUAGGUGUAUCGGUGACCACGAGUCACCGAGGUGCCGAAGGGAAACCGUGAAACGUGCCGCCUGGGAAGUACGGUCGCAAGGCUGAAGCUUAAAGGAAUUGGCGGGGGAGCACCACAACGGGUGGAGCCUGCGGUUUAAUUGGACUCAACGCCGGGAAGCUCACCGGAUAAGACAGCGGAAUGAUUGCCGGGCUGAAGACUCUGCAUGACUAGCUGAGAGGAGGUGCAUGGCGUAGACGUCU
This 261-nucleotide ribosomal RNA is filed under the name uncultured archaeon. RNAcentral describes it as "partial 16S ribosomal RNA". It matches the Rfam family "Archaeal small subunit ribosomal RNA", at positions 748 to 1009 of the family's 1478-position model. The record is from RNAcentral.